AAGACCUUGCGCUUUUGGAGCGGCCGAUGUCUGAUUAGCUUGUUGGUAAGGUAAAAGCUUACCAAGGCUUCGAUCAGUAGCUGGUCUGAGAGGACGGCCGGCCACACUGGGACUGAGACACGGCCCAGACUCCUACGGGAGGCAGCAGUGGGGAAUUUUGGACAAUGGGGGCAACCCUGAUCCAGCCAUGCCGCGUGAGUGAAGAAGGCCUUCGGGUUGUAAAGCUCUUUCGGCCGGAACGAAAUCGCAUCUCCUAAUACGGGGUGUGGAUGACGGUACCGGAAGAAGAAGCACCGGCUAACUACGUGCCAGCAGCCGCGGUAAUACGUAGGGUGCGAGCGUUAAUCGGAAUUACUGGGCGUAAAGCGUGCGCAGGCGGCUCUUCAAGUCAGAUGUGAAAGCCCCGGGCUUAACCUGGGAACU
Molecule: ribosomal RNA, 423 nt
Filed under: uncultured bacterium
Lineage: Bacteria
Description: bacterial SSU rRNA
Rfam family: Bacterial small subunit ribosomal RNA
Source: RNAcentral